UUUAGUGCUAUUGAGACGUUUUCAGCCAUUGGGGUUAUUAGUUUGCAUGUAGGGCGAUUUCGUGGAUUGCUGACACGUUGUCCAGUGGGUUUGUAUUGUUUUCUGAGCACUGAUGAGUUUUCUGGAGGUUUGGAGUCUGAAUUUUUGAGCGCGAUUUAUGCUAGCGCGGGAUAUGUUACGUGGCUACAGUGCUUGUACCUCUUAUAUUGUGUUUCAGGAGCGGAGGUGCAGAAAGGGCAAUCUGAAGACACUGUAGUCUGUGCUUUGUGCAGCUACUUGAUGCAAUUAUUAAAACCAGGAGUCGCUGCAGGAGCAUACCUAUAGCCAGGAAAACAGGGAGAUUUGUCCAAGGGCUGAACUCCUAUCAAUGCAACAUCAAGCUCAGCUUCAUGAUCCCAUUCCAUCUUCUUCUACCGCUUAUCCUCACUAGGGUUACGGUUGUUACCGGAGUCUAUCCCAGCUGUCACUGGGCAAGAGACGGGGUACACCCUGAACAGGUCGCCAAUCUGUCGCAAGAGUAAAGCAGGGAGAGAUACAGCCAUCCACGCUCACCUGCACACCUACACCGAUUUACAAUCACCAAUUAACCCAACGAGCAUAUGUUUGGACGGUGGGAGGAAGCCAGAGCACCUGGACACAACCCACGCAGACACAGGGAGAACAUGCAAACUCCACACAGAAAGGCCCCAGUCGGAUUCGAACCCGGACCUUCUUGCUGUGAGGCAUCUUCACGAUCAGACAAAAAGAAACGACGAAAUGUUUUGCAUUUGAGUUGAAGGGAUGUGGGUGACCGUAGUGAGAAUAACUGGUAGUAGAAGAUGAGAUGCGUUAAAAUGUGUUUUAUGCAAGUACAAAAGCAGGAGGACUAGUGCAGCCGCUGCAAAAAACGGAACGGCCGCUGCCUCUGUGCUACUUACUUGUCGCCUUCGCCAUUCACAGCCUCCCAGGCGUCCCCACAAUUGGGCCAACGCGAGGGGCGCCAUCAAGCCCGCACCCGUGAAUGACAAGGCGACUGUAGCUCCAGCGCAGCAUAGCACUGGCCGUCCGCACAAUUACUUCUGUCAAUGUCCAUCCCGCACAUUGCCUGUUGUGUACCUGUCAAGUUUCCGUAGCUUCUUCCGGUUUGCCCUCGCCCAGUGGGCUGGCUUUGGCUUUGAGGCGUGACCAAGGGAGCAGAGGUGCAUAAAGAACAAUCUGAAAACACUGUAGUCUGUGCCUUGUGCAGGUAUGUGUUUUCCUUUGUUAAAUGUGUUAAAUGUGUCUCUAUUCUACUCAUUUCUCUUGUUGUUUUUCUUUCUGUAACCGCCUGGUGUCAUUAUCUUUUCAUGUAUUUGUUUCUCUCACAGUUUGAGAUUUGUUAUUAAUUACAAUUUUAUCAUUUAAAAUAGCUGCUAAACUGUAUCUUGUAUUAAAUGGCCAAGGGAAUGCCAAAACCCUGUUUUAAUACUAUAGCAUUUAUCAUUAUUAUUAUUAUUUAGAAGACAAAUAAUGAAAUUAGAAUGUGCUCUGAGGUUUUGCUGAGGGAGCAUUGGUACAGAAACAACAAGUUGAAGACCAAGUAUGUGUCUCUGUCUCCUUCAGGCAAACAAAUGCUGAAAACCCCACCGUUAGAUGAUGUCUUCCUGUACUGAGCAGAGCUGAGCAGUUUUCGUAGUUUGCAGUUGUAGUAGGGCUAAGCUAAUCUCUCGGUUGAAAGUCACACUGUUGUGUGGUGGCUGCAUUGAGGGGGGGGUUUAACAUUUAGUAAAUGUGAUAAUAAUAAAAAAAAAAAAAAAAAAAUGACUUUGAAAAAAUCAGACCUUACUCGUGUAUAUUUUAACAUGCGCAACUUCACAACAGCGAUCCGUGAGAUGAGGACCCAAAAAGUACAAUUUAGAUUUUUAAAAAUUAAAUUAGAGACGGAGGCAAAACGUAUGAAGGUUCAGUCACCUAACAGAGGACAUUUGAGCAAACAUCAUUUACUUAAAGCCAUGCAGGCAGGGAAGUGCUAGAGAGAAUUUAUUCUGCCCUGAUUGUAGUUGCCUCACAGGGCUUCUAAAGACACAAGCUUAUUUGACUUCAGCCAAACAGAUCACAAGCUUACUUCUCUGAGACU
This is a long non-coding RNA of Mugil cephalus (flathead mullet), 2095 nucleotides long. RefSeq lists it as uncharacterized. The record is from RefSeq and is a predicted model, not a curated record. NCBI's taxonomy places the organism in Eukaryota, Metazoa, Chordata, Actinopteri, Mugiliformes, Mugilidae. The transcript has 4 exons.